RNAcentral lists this non-coding RNA (163 nucleotides) under human gut metagenome. The record is from RNAcentral.
GUUGUGAGGCUUGGGGCUAAAGAAAGUGUGUAAUAAAACAGAUGACUAACGAAAAAAUUUACUAUAAGGCUACAUAAAUGGAUAAGGCUGCAAUACAGACUAAAGUCCAAAAGAUACUCGUAACUUUAUGUGGCAAAGUAAGUAGCUAAUCGAGGAAAGAUAU